This 423-nucleotide long non-coding RNA is filed under the name Salmo salar (Atlantic salmon). Its description in RNAcentral is "lncRNA (ENSSSAG00000104048.1)". The record is from RNAcentral. Lineage: Eukaryota; Metazoa; Chordata; Actinopteri; Salmoniformes; Salmonidae.
AACAGAGCAGAGAACAGAGCAGGGAACAGAGCAGAGAACAGAGCAGAGAACAGGGCAGGGAACAGGGCAGGGAACAGGGCAGGGAACAGAGCAGGGAACAGAGCAGGGAUCAGAACAGGGAACAGAGCAGAGAACAGGGCAGGGAACAGGGCAGGGAACAGAGCAGGGAACAGAGCAGGGAACAGAGCAGGGUACAGAGCAGGGAACAGAGCAGAGAACAGAACAGGGAACAGAGCAGAGAACAGAGCAGGGAACAGGGUAGGGAACAGGGCAGGGAACAGAGCAGGGAACAGAGCAGGGAACAGAGCAGGGAACAGAGCAGGGAACAGAGCAGGGAACAGAGCAGAGAACAGAGCAGAGAACAGAGCAGGGAACAGAGCAGAGAACAGAGCAGGGAACAGAGCAGGGUAGGGAACAGAGCAG